Molecule: long non-coding RNA, 1503 nt
Filed under: Brassica rapa (field mustard)
Lineage: Eukaryota; Viridiplantae; Streptophyta; Magnoliopsida; Brassicales; Brassicaceae
Description: long non-coding RNA (BRAP_LNC001399)
Source: RNAcentral
UAAAAAGUAAUAAAUUGAUAAGCUCUAAGUGCUCAACGACCCAAAGUCAAUUUUAUGGCGUGGUUUUUUUUUUUUGUUGUCAUCCGUUGUUAUAUUGAUUUUAAACUAGAUUAGCCAAAAGACAUGUUACAACGGCUGUCGUAAUGAAACGACACUAUGAUCUAGAACCAACGGUUUAAAAAUACAACUCUGGAAACAUAAACUGGCGAUUGCACAAUUACAAUUCCAGAGAUAAAAUCAUACUCGGACACACUUAAACUAACAAGAAAGGACUACAAAGACAGCCAAUAACAUAAUAAGAGACCAACAACUACAACACCCUAGAUAAGACUCAAACCCAACCACAAGGAAUCGAUAGUUUAUGGACAACUGUUGCUGUGGAUUGUGCCUUAUGGUGGUUCUUUAGUAGACAGCAAAAUAAACAAACCAUAAUUAGAUUACUUAAAUUCAUAUGGAAACUUGAAUUAGACCAAAUCAUGUAUUGGCUCCAGAGAUGCCAUUCCCUUACAUCAAUGUUUUUGCCCACCUGUCUAGCUCUUGCCACCACAUUGUCUACUCCUACACCUUUUGUCAAUAUAAAAAGAUUAUUUAUACAUAAUACUAUAUAUAUAAAUACUAUAUAUAUGUGUAUGGUCCAUUCUCAUAUUAUUAUCUUAGUUACGGAGUUUAUUAAUUAGACUCUAAUAUUAUUACAUCUACCAUUCGUUGUCACUACUAUUUUUACAAAUAUAACAAAAACUAAUCGUCAUCUUCAAAAAAAAAAAAAUUGUCAUCUUCGUUCCCAAAUAAUAAAAUGCAAAAUGUAAAGAUAUAACUAUAAGUGUGUUUCCAAAAAUGUAAGUGUUAAUUUAAAUAUAAACUAAUGUUUACCACAUUUUAAAUUUAUAAUGUGCUCAGAGCACCUCAAAUUUAAGUAAUAAAAUAACUGUUCGAUGUCAAAAAAAUAAAAAAAAAAUAAAAAAAAUUUUAUAAUUGCAACUCAACUUAAAAGGUAUAAACGGAACCUAAUUUUGAAAGAGACCAAAUUAAUGUACAAAAAACAUCAUAAGUAAUUCAAAUAUGAUUGGUAUGUUACAUUUAUAAAUCCAAUAACAAAAUUUUAGUAAGGUGACUCAAACAGGCAUGUAAAAUACAAAUAAGGAUCGAGACAACUAAAAUAAAAACGAAGAACGGAAACGAUAGAGAUGCGUGAUGGGUUAAAUAAUGAAAAUGUUUGGUCUUUCAGUUGAUGACCAAUGCUAGAAUUCAAAGCAACUUACUUUCAAAGAUAAGUAUAUAUAUUAACAAUAAUUUAACUUAUUUUCGUGAAGUUGAUCUUUUUGCUUAUCAACCUAUUAGGCUAAAUUUUCAUUUUCAAUAAGAAGAUUAAUAAAAUUACAAGCAAGUUUAGCUAACCUACUAGUCAUUUCUGUCAAUAAGUUCUAUCGGUAAACAGUGACAAGCUAAAAUUUCACGAACACAUUCGGAUGGAAAAUAACUAUGCUAAUAUUUGAUGGCUGCUUA